UACGUAGGGUGCGAGCGUUAAUCGGAAUUACUGGGCGUAAAGCGUGCGCAGGCGGUUAUAUAAGACAGUUGUGAAAUCCCCGGGCUCAACCUGGGAAUUGCAUUUGUGACUGUAUAGCUAGAGUACGGUAGAGGGGGAUGGAAUUCCGCGUGUAGCAGUGAAAUGCGUAGAGAUCGGGAGGAACAUCUGUGGCGAAGGCGGCCAUCUGGACCAGCACUGACACUGAGGCACGAAAGCGUGGGGAGCAAACAGG
RNAcentral lists this ribosomal RNA (253 nucleotides) under uncultured bacterium. Its description in RNAcentral is "partial 16S ribosomal RNA". It matches the Rfam family "Bacterial small subunit ribosomal RNA", at positions 524 to 776 of the family's 1533-position model. The record is from RNAcentral.